This 442-nucleotide ribosomal RNA is filed under the name uncultured bacterium. RNAcentral describes it as "bacterial SSU rRNA". It matches the Rfam family "Bacterial small subunit ribosomal RNA", at positions 958 to 1398 of the family's 1533-position model. The record is from RNAcentral.
AACGCGAAGAACCUUACCAGCUUUUGACAUGUCCAGUAUGGUCGCCAGAGAUGGCUUCCUUCCCGCAAGGGGCUGGAACACAGGUGCUGCAUGGCUGUCGUCAGCUCGUGUCGUGAGAUGUUGGGUUAAGUCCCGCAACGAGCGCAACCCUCGCCUUUAGUUGCCAUCAUUCAGUUGGGCACUCUAGAGGGACUGCCGGUGAUAAGCCGGAGGAAGGUGGGGAUGACGUCAAGUCCUCAUGGCCCUUACAGGCUGGGCUACACACGUGCUACAAUGGCGGUGACAGAGGGAUGCAAUGGCGCGAGCCCACGCAAAUCUCAAAAAGCCGUCUCAGUUCGGAUUGCACUCUGCAACUCGAGUGCAUGAAGUUGGAAUCGCUAGUAAUCGCGGAUCAGCACGCCGCGGUGAAUACGUUCCCGGGCCUUGUACACACCGAGACGAC